UUCCUAUACAACAAUUCAUUCUUUAGCUCAAGUCUAUUCCAUUGUCUCAUCCAUAGGGUUACUGCAGGUGAGUGGAAUUUCAGGUUUGAAGGUUUGUUGUUUGACUCCCGGUAAUCAAUUACCUCUUUCAUUUCAGGGUCUGCUCACUGCCUCCUGAUCAGAUCCUCUACAGACAGAUGAGGUAUCUCGGGAAGACCAUGGACACCUUCUCUCUGGAUUUCUGGAGAUUCCAGGUCAUCUGAGGGUCCACCAUUCAGACAACGAGACAGUCCGUCCACAUCUUGAUUUUGAGCUCCCGCUCUGUACUGCAUCUUAAAAUUGUACAUUGAAAGACUGGAUAACCAUCUAUAACUAGUGGCAUCGAGUUUGGCCGAGAAGCACCCGGGUCUAUUUAUCUAAGCGCACCUUGGAAUGCAACCGGACACGCGGACCCCAGAUGGGCAAACCCCCAGAUGUGGGAACGGACCAUUAAAAUCUAUAAAAACAUUCCUCAGGAGUUCAUUUAUCUCCUGUCAUCCUCAGUCACGGACAAACAUCUGAACAAACAUCAUAUUUCCCCCUCGGAGGUCAUAGGUCACAUCUGGACAUCUAACAGGUCACGGGGUCAACACGACGUGGGUGGUUGUGAUGAGGGUGGUCGCGAUGUGGGUGGGCUGCGUGGGGGAGGGGAAAGGUCAAAAGGUAAAAGUCAUAAAUAUUUUGUCAUAUGCACAUCCCUAUUGA
Sinocyclocheilus grahami is the source of this 723-nucleotide long non-coding RNA. RefSeq lists it as uncharacterized. The transcript has 3 exons. Lineage: Eukaryota; Metazoa; Chordata; Actinopteri; Cypriniformes; Cyprinidae. The record is from RefSeq and is a predicted model, not a curated record.